AAAAACUGGCAUGCGAGACAGUCGAGAAUCGAACAGAAACGAUCAGUGUUUCAGGUGCCAGAGGACCUCGAUCGUUCCAUCGAGC
This 85-nucleotide non-coding RNA is filed under the name Noctiluca scintillans. The record is from RNAcentral. Lineage: Eukaryota; Dinophyceae; Noctilucales; Noctilucaceae.